This 7386-nucleotide long non-coding RNA is filed under the name Sus scrofa (pig). RNAcentral describes it as "lncRNA (ENSSSCG00000053643.1)". The record is from RNAcentral. Lineage: Eukaryota; Metazoa; Chordata; Mammalia; Artiodactyla; Suidae.
UGUUUUUGACAUGCAAAGUUUGAAUGGACCUGAGUUAAGUCCACUGGUAUUCCUGAAUAUACUUUCAAUUGAAAACACCAGUGUAAGUAGAACCCAAGUUAAUUUGUUAGUCCAUGGCUAGUCCUCAGAAUCUGUAAAACGCAUGAAAUGCAUGGAUAUUGCUAUCUUUAAAUAUUUUGAACAACUGGCUAUCCAUAAAAACAUAUAAUCCUAUAUCUGAGGAAUAUAAAACCUUAAUAUCUAGACUUUUCUAGAUGAGGAAACCAAGGCCUCAAGAAGAGAAAAUGACUAAUAUCAAACAGCUAGUUGGAAAAAAAUAAUUGAAUGGCUCAAUCUGCAAGGAAAAACAGUAGUAUUUAUCUGCAUCUAGGGUAGACACAAUUUGGGGGCCUCAAGAAUAUUUUUGCUUCUGCCUCUAUUCCUAGAAACUGUCCAGCCUUAUUAGCUAUCUGCCAAGGACUCCUAAACCCCAGUCAUGAAUUUAUUUGGUAGCUGUGUGAAAACAAAUUCCCUCAGAGCUCCAGCUCCAGAUAUCCAGUUUCUAGCUGGAAUCGCCAAUCGAAAGUUCCUCAGGAACUUCAGACUUAAUGUUCAGAAACUGAACUCUUCCAAACCUGCUCCUCCUCUUUUCCUGCAGCCUCUCUGACUGAAUGGCAUCACCUAGUUCCUUAAGCUCCAAACCAUUCAGUCCCUUUUCGUCCACCAGGCAUUGUUCUAUCCUAUUGUAUAAUGGAAGAAAGGUAGAAAUUCCUACCUCUUGGGACAGGAAUGGGAGUUCCCUGGUGGCUAGGACUUGGCACUUUCACCACUGUGGCCUGGGUUCAAUCCCUGGUCUGGGAACUGGGAUCCCACAGGGAAAGGGAAAAAAAAAAAAGACUUGUGGCUGCCUGACGGGAGAGGGAGGGAGUGGGGGGGAUCGGGAGCUUGGGGUUAUCAGAUACAACUUAGAAUAGAUUUACAAGGAGAUCCUGCUGAGUAGCAUCGAGAACUAUGUCUAGAUACUCAUAAUGCAACAGAACAAAGGGUGGGGAAAAAUGUAUACAUGUAAGAGUAACUUGAUCCCCCAUGCUGUACAGCAGGAAAAAAAUAAAAUAAAUAAAAUUACAUACAUUUGUGUGUUUAAAAAAAGAAAGGACAUAGGUGUCUAGCUCAAAGGCCUUGUUUUGUGGAUGUUUCCUGUUGACACUCAACAAACAGUAAUGAACCUGAACCUCUUCUUCAUUGUCCUUAUCUUUUAGUUCUAUACCACCCAGAUAUUUGCCCUUUAACCCCUUGUCCUCCCUAGAUUUCUGUUCUUCUCUGGUAACUGGCCAAUGCACAUGGGUUUUCUCCAUGGCAGGUAGAAGUGUCCCCCAUCUUCUAGAUAGCCCAAGCAAGACUAGAGACAGCUACAGCCUCAUCAGCUUUCAUCAUUUCUACUCAGGAAAUACCAGAAUACUUUAGUAGUAGAGAGUAUUUACAGUUAGAAUGGGCUGUACAAUUCAUAACCCCAGUGUAAAAUGUAAACAUGAAGUCCCUUGUUCAAAAAGCAGGAAAAUGUGCCAUUAAAGGUAUGCAAAUAUAACAUAUUUCCUUUCUACUGGGGAGUCUCUCUCAACCUUUCAUGGUGUUUUAAAUUUUCCGUUUAAUGUAGUACCCUCUCAGAGAUAGAGACACUUGUAGGGCAAGUUCAGACCCAUAUAAGUACCCUGUGACCCCACCCUCUGAUUUGAUGCACAUGUGUGGGGCCUAAAGAUUGCUGGAUGGGUGCAUUGCACCCUGGUCAGGAAUAAGUAGAGCCAGCUAUAUCCUUUUCCCCUGCGCCAGCUGCCCCAACCCAUGGAGGAUAGAGGACCACCAAGGGUGUUGCAACCUCUGCACCAGGAUGCACUAGGUACCUGGAUCAGGGUCGUCAAUAAGCCCUGCUGAGUGAUCUGCCAUCUUGCCAUGGCACUAUCAUCCUGGGGCCAGGAUGGGUGGCUGUCAUCAUAGCCAGUCCUGAGAUGUUGCAGGCCAAGUGAACCUGACCCCAGUCCUCCCCAGGCCUGUACCCAGGUCCCUGAGGGUGGAGGGUUGCAUCAGUCACUGGGUGAUACAGAGGAAGAGGCUGGAUGGGGCCCUGGGUACUAAUGGGCAGGGGAGUGGGCAGUCAAUAACAGGUCCCAGGGAGGUGGCGACACAAUGAAAGAUGGGACCGUGUGCUAGCAGAGACUCCAGGCUUCCAGUGCCUACUCAAUUAUUCUAUCACAUUUUGGAUUUCAUUUACAAAGCCAAAAUUCAAAGUAUUAAAAUUAAGACAGUGGGAUGGAAAUACUAUAAAACUGGAUUGUGAUGAUCAUUGUACAACUACAAUGUAGUAAAUUCAUUGAAUAAUAAAAAAAUAAAAUAAAAUUAAGACAGUGACAUUAAACCCCAAGUGCAAGGCUCGUCUAAGCCUGGGGUCCUAUAUCACGGCACUGACCACACGUCCAUGCAGCCAGUUCUGCUUAGAGAGACAUUUCUCUUAUCUUUAUCAGGCAGUAUAGUGCAGUGGUUAAAAGUACAAGCUCUGAAUCAGACUACCAGACUUUGAGGCCCACCUCCCUCACUUUCUAAUACUUUGACUUUAGACAAGUUGCUUAAGUUGCAUAUGUCUCAGUUUUCUUAUACGUAAAACAAAGAUAAUAAGAACAUCUACCUUCUAAGGUUGCUGUGAGGUAAUGCAUGCACACUGAUUAGAAUAAUGCCCAGACAUAGUUUACACGCAAUAACUUUUGUAUUCUUACUUUUUGCUCUUAGGAUUCUACAUUUUUUCAGCUAUCCAAUACAAGAUUUGGGUUUUGUUUACUCUGGAUCUGCUGUAGGCCUGUGUUCCAAGUGGUAUUUACCCAGCAUACACAGCAUAUAACUAGACUUGGUCUCCAGUGACCUCCCGGGCUUAAGGGGAGCUCUGCUAGGUUUAUACAAACUGAGUGAGUCCAGUGAGCUGUCAGUGGUAGAGUUUAGAGUUUUUUUUCUUUUACAGACUCAGGAUCCAUCCAAGUUAGUGUUUGGUUGUACCAUCCUGGGUCUCGAUUAACAAAUGCAACUGCAGGGACCUCACAUCCAGUUCUGCUGCUUCUCCCACAGGCCUUCAAGAAGAAGAUAUUCUCAUUGUCUUACAAACAGUAGUUCUUCAUUAUAGGGCUAAUGGAAAAGACUCUCCAAGGCAAUCUCUGGUGUUCCCAUUUUCAGUCUUGCUGCCACAGCAACAGCCCUUAGGGACACGUUCAGUCAAAGGGACUUGGAGUCAGAGCUAGGUGUGAUACCAAUGAGGCCUAGACCAGCCCUUCCAGAGGGAGCAAGGCCCCUGCCAGUGAGGGGAUGAGGGACAGUGGACGGAGGGAGGGCUCUGUAAGUUAGGGCAGCAAUUCUGUCCCCUCAGAUGCCAUAAGAGAAUAAUCACUGCCCUCUCUCUGCAUCCGCCGCUCAAUGUUGCAGAAGCUGAGCCUUGCAUUCCAGGGAGCUCUCAGCGCCUCUCCAAGCCCUCCUUCCUACCCGCCACACAUGCAGGGUGGGUUGCUGUCAGCUUCACGGUGGGGGGUGGGCUUCUCCAGCCACUUUGGGCUGUGCACCCAUCCCCAGCACCGUUCUAGGUGGUUCUCAGAGUGGCAUCUGGUCUUGGUCUCUCUGACCGAAGGAUCCCGCUGAGAUAGUUCUCACCACACUGUGCUCAGCCAGAGCAAGGCCUCAGGCUGAAUGGGGGUCCUGAGCAAAUGCUCUGAUAUUGGGGGAGGGGUAGUUCUGGGGAUCCCAGUAACAAAAUCCUACAGCCCCAAAGGCUGAGCUGCAGAGUCUAGGCGGUUGUGUGGUUCCCAGCUAUUGCCCAAGGCAAGGACACGUUAGGGACUCCAUUGGCCUGAAGCUGACACUUCUGUCAGCCACUUGGGUUUCCUGAAGAAAUUUGGACAGGGGCAUCCCGUCCAAGGAGGCAUGUCCCCAUCUGGCCUCCUGGAUAUUGAGUGGCCUCCUGGUCAAGUCUCCAUGGGUCAGAGGAACUGGCUAGAGCACACCUGCAAUCCCCACAAGGGGAGAAAUCCUAGAGCUUAGAACUAGCUACGAUCUACUUCACCCUCCACAAGUGGAGCUCUGGGUACCAGAGCACCAAGCAGGGGCAGUGGGAAUACAUAUCAGGCUUCUCAAGAGGCAGAAUCCAUUUUGUAUAAUUCUGAGAACAUGGUUUGGCUGGGAUUAAUGGAAAACAGAAAUAAGCAAUUCCAUCAACAAAUAUUGCACAAGGUGUGUACAAACUUUUUCUAGGCAGUAUAGAAACACAGCGAAGAAAAGAGGGAGAGAGGGAUGAGAUAUCCUUCUCUCGAGGAGGAUAAAAUAUGGACCUGCAGAAGACAAAAUUUAAGUACUUAAAAAUCAAAUAGAAAUUGGUUUUACUUUGCAUUUUUCUUGAAAAGGGGUAUGUGAAAAAAUAACUAUUUCAGACUCAGUAAGUGUCCACUAACUUGAAUUUUAAUUUUAGAGAUAUGUUCCUACCUAAAAAAUUGUAACCUCAAUUCAGACAAUAAAGGUAUUAAUUUCUCUUCAGUAAGAACUGCCACCUCUUCCACACAUAACUAUUGACCCCGACAACUGAUUGAAUUAUCUAAAAUUACUUCUUUCCUGAUUAUAAAAGAAUGACAUGUUCAUCACUGAGAAAUUGGAAAAUACAGAGAAAUAAGAGGAGCACUUAAUAUAUAAGUCAACACCUAGAGACAACUACCAAUACUUGGUUACAUUCUCUUUUCGUGUUCUGCUUUUUAAUACAUGCAUACAUGUGUGUAUGUGUGUCUAUAAGCAUAGUUCUAGUAGAAUAAUAGUGUAAAACUAUUCUGUGCCAUAUUGUUUUCACUUAUAAAUAUAUUAGAAAAAAUAUGCAUGUCAAUAAGCAUUCUUCCUCUUGAGAUUAAUGGUUGCAUAAAACCUACUGUAUGGAUGAGCUUUCACAACUAUUAACAAAGAGUUUUGAAAAGACUGAUAGGAGGAACAUAGAGCUUAUCUCAGUGUGCUCAAAGCAAGAGGUGACAUACACAAUUUGGAAUGUGACUGCAUUUUCUUAAAUUCUUAAAUAUGAGCCUUGGCUAAAUGAAGUGACCAGGAAGAAGAAUUAUCUUCUACAGUAAAAUCCCAUGUGCACACAAAGGCUUUAAGUGAAACUUUCAUUUGAACAGGUGGAAAAGGGAAAAAGUUGAGAUUUCAAAUAUUUUACCAGACAUUUUCACUUCAGAUUAUGGAGUUGAACAUGAAAAUUAUUUCCAUGUAGAACACUGAGGCCAGCCUGCGCCAGCCCAGUGAGGGUCCAUCCCAAGGAUGGAAAGCUUAAAGCAGGUGAAUGCCCUGGUUCUAUAACUGAGGCUGAGAGCAGUCAGGUGAGAGGUCAGGACAAGAAGGACUUAUGUUUGCCCUGGAGCUGAGAGCCUUCUAAGGAUCGUAAGGAUAAUAGAUGUUCAUGAAUGCUGUGCAGAAGGAAUUAAAGGCUUCAGAGCCUCAGAGGAGAAGGAGGAAAGCGUACCAGCUUCACCAGUGAGGAGUAUCACAGAGGUGGUCAGUAGUGGAAGUUGCAGAAUAGAGGGUAAAACCAUAAGGGCUGAGAAGGACCUUGGAGUUGAUGGUCUGUGGUGCUUGGGAAGCAAGUUGGACAGGAUGCUGGCCAUGGGCACAGUGAGUAAAGAAAUCUAAGCAGGACAGAGAUAAAUGGGGACUGAUACCAAUGAAGGUGACUAGUCAGUUUUGCUACUACGGUGAUAUUACAGAGGAGGAUGAGCAGCCUAAGAGAAGAGUUAUAGGUAAAUCUGAGGAGGAUCAGUCAUCCUUAGGAGAAUGAGCUAUGCCAUAAAAUUGAAAUUCCUUUCCAUAGUUCCCAAAGGGCAUCUUGCAUAAAACCUCCUAAGACAAAACUUCAGGGUACUGAUAGAUAUUCUGGUUCAGUCCCCUAGUUUUGGUUCCUAAUACUUGGAGUCAUCAUCAAAUCAGUAUAGGCAAUUUGCAGUUAUCCCAAGGGGUAAAACCAAUUUACAUCAUUUGAAAUUCAUUUAAAGGAAUGUUUAAUUAACAUAAUAUUUAAUUCUACUUUAAUUACUUUUAAGAACCCACAUAUUGCUUUGGGGAAUUAGUAAAAUUAGACAAAAUUAGUGUGUCAUAACAUGGAACAUGUUGGGAAUCAUUAGUCUAAACCAUCUGGAUAGAUGGCUGUCUCCCUUUCUACUAGAUAAUUAAUACCAUUGAAAACCCUACAUCUACCCACCCUCCCUUCCACCUACCUGUAGUAGGUAUUCUCUUGAGAGAUGGGAAUUCUUGUGUUUAUCCAAUAAUAUUCACUUAUCUGUAACUUUAACCCCUAAUCAAGCCAAAAGCAAUAUAGCCUCAGUUUCCUCGUGCAUAACCUGAAAGUAAUUACAAUUUCUUUCUGUCUGGAUUAUUGUGGGAACUCAAUGAGGUAAUGUACAUAAAAGGUAUUCAUACAAAAAUUUGCCAUUUGCGGUAAAUUUUACAUGUAAGGAAACUACCAGGCAGUAGGUCUUCAUUUAUACAGUUGACAAAACAGGAAACAAUAGCAAUAAUGGCCACAAACAGGAGAAAUCUUUGGGAAGCUUUUGCAACUUACAUUGUAUGAAAGAGACCAAGUGGGUCGUGGAAUUAAAAUUCUUAUGUGAAGGGCGUAAUUUUCACUUCCAUACUCACAAGUCCAAAACACCACUUGUAAUACUUAAUAACAUCCAUUAACGCUGUCAUGUUAUGGUCUCAAGAUCCAGGAACAUAAUCAAGGCAUCUUCUAAAUCGUGCAGCCCAAGUGAGUGGUACAUCCAAAUAGGGAGAAGCAAGCCAUUGGAUGAGAUGUUACUACUCCUUUUUACCUGAUUGGUGGUGCUAGUGGCAAGAUGGUGGCAAAUGAGAGAGCAUAGCUUCAAUCUAGGAUAAAGAAUGAACUAUCCUUUCUUCAAGGAUCAGCUAUGACAUCCCAUAUCCAGGGCCUAAAUUUUUAUUUCUGCCUCAGUAGAGACAAGAUGAUCGCCAAGGGUUUCCUAUAUUCUUCCUUUUACCUUACUUUCCCCUCUUUUCCAUCCUUUGUUUCUCAUAUGGAAAUAUAAUAGAGUGGGAGAAUUGGGGUUUUUGAAUCCAGACAAGCUUCAGAUCAACUUUUUGAAGUCAUGGUUUCUUUAAUGCCACAAGCCUUCCUACCCUCUUUGUCUGUUUCCAUGUCUCUGCCCUUAUCCUCUCACCAUGUCUCUUCCUCAUAUCUUUCCUCUGUGUCGAUGUCCUUGUCACUUCCUUUAAGAAUCAUUUUAAAUAGCAUUGAGAACUUUGUCUAGAUACUCAUGUUGCAACAGAAGAAAGGGUGGGGGGAAAAUGUAAUUGUAAUGUAUACAUGUAAGGAUAACCUGAUCCCCUUGCUGUACA